Molecule: ribosomal RNA, 468 nt
Filed under: uncultured bacterium
Lineage: Bacteria
Description: partial 16S ribosomal RNA
Rfam family: Bacterial small subunit ribosomal RNA
Source: RNAcentral
GACGAACGCUGGCGGCGGGCUUAACACAUGCAAGUCGAACGGAAAGGCCCUGCUUUUGUGGGGUGCUCGAGUGGCGAACGGGUGGGUAACACGUGAGUAACCUGCCCUUGACUUUGGGAUAACUUCAGGAAACUGGGGCUAAUACCGGAUAGGAGCUCCUGCUGCAUGGUGGGGGUUGGACAGUUUCGGCGGUUGGGGAUGGACUCGCGGCUUAUCAGCUUGUUGGUGGGGUAGUGGCUUACCAAGGCUUUGACGGGUAGCCGGCCUGAGAGGGUGACCGGCCACAUUGGGACUGCGAUACGGCGCAGUCUCCUACGGGAGGCAGCAGGGGAGAACAUUGCACAAUGGGCGGAAGCCUGAUGCAGCAACGCCGCGUGCGGGAUGACGGCCUUCUGGUUGUAAACCGCUUUCGCCUGUGACGAAGCGUGAGUGACGGUAAUGGGUAAAGAAGCACCGGCUAACUACGUG